GAUCUUCGGGCGUUCCCCAGCUCAGAGAUGCGCAAGGUUUUGGCAAAGAGGAUGCUGCUGACCUUUAAGCUGUCUUUCCUGUAAUGAUGAGGCAUUCGUCAUAUGUGGCCUUUGUAUCUCUGAAAGAGAUGGGAGCUCAGCUAAGGAGCUAUAACCUGUCUCACUGGAAUAUCAAAGAAGGUGGGAGUAUUACAUCCCAGCGGGAUAUAGCAGGUGAAGAAACUGGAGCAGACAGCGGUUAAGUGACUUGCCCAGG
Molecule: long non-coding RNA, 256 nt
Organism: Phascolarctos cinereus (koala)
Lineage: Eukaryota; Metazoa; Chordata; Mammalia; Diprotodontia; Phascolarctidae
Source: RefSeq, a predicted model, not a curated record